AAGUCGUAACAAGGUUUCCGUAGGUGAACCUGCGGAAGGAUCAUUAUUGAAUACGAUUGGUACUGAUGCUGGCUCUUCACUGAGCAUGUGCUCGUCCAUCUAUUUAUCUUCUCUUGUGCACAUCUUGUGGUCUUGAAUUGAAACCUUUUUCGCAUUCAUUUGCGGUUUGGGAGAAUGUUAACCCUUCUUCUGCUUCUUCAAGGCCAUGUUUUCAUAUACACUAUACAAAAGUUACAGAAUGUCAUUUAACGAUUGUGCUUGGUCGCAGUCAUUAAACCUAUACAACUUUCAGCAACGGAUCUCUUGGCUCUC
Molecule: unclassified non-coding RNA, 312 nt
Filed under: air metagenome
Description: partial contains small subunit ribosomal RNA, internal transcribed spacer 1, and 5.8S ribosomal RNA
Rfam family: Eukaryotic small subunit ribosomal RNA (bases 1-46)
Source: RNAcentral